GUCGGACGGGAUCUAUGGCUUCGGCUUUAGUGAGAGUGGCGGACGGGUGCGUAACGCGUGAGCAACCUACCCAUGCCAGGGGGACAGCCAGGGGAAACUCGGGUUAAUCCCGCAUGUUGCGUUGGGGUCGCAUGACUUUUACGCUAAACAAUUUCGGGGCAUGGAUGGGCUCGCGUGGCAUUAGCUAGUCGGCGGGGUAACGGCCCACCGAGGCGAUGAUGCCUAGGGGCCCUGAGAGGGGGAUCCCCCACACCGGUACUGAGACACGGACCGGACUCCUACGGGAGGCAGCAGUAGGGAAUAUUGGUCAAUGGGCGGAAGCCUGAACCAGCCAUGCCGCGUGCGGGACGAAGGCCCUACGGGUCGUAAACCGCUUUUCCACGGGAACAGUCCCCGCCACGUGCGGCGGGUCGAGGGUACCGUGGGAAUAAGGAUCGGCUAACUCCGUGCCAGCAGCCGCGGUAAUACGGAGGAUCCGAGCGUUAUCCGGAUUCAUUGGGUUUAAAGGGUGCGCAGGCGGCCUAAUAAGCAGGGGGUGAAAUAUGGCGGCUCAACCGCCUUACUGCCUCCUGAACUGUUGGGCUUGGAUGCCGUUGGGGGCGGCGGAAUGGGGCAAGUAGCGGUGAAAUGCAUAGAUAUGCCCCGGAACACCGAUCGCGGAGGCAGCUGCCCAAACGGUCAUCGACGCUGAUGCACGAAAGCGUGGGGAUCGAACAGGAUUAGAUACCCUGGUAGUCCACGCCGUAAACGAUGAUGGCUCGGUGCCGGCGACAGA
Molecule: ribosomal RNA, 775 nt
Filed under: uncultured Sphingobacteriales bacterium
Lineage: Bacteria; Pseudomonadati; Bacteroidota; Sphingobacteriia; Sphingobacteriales
Description: bacterial SSU rRNA
Rfam family: Bacterial small subunit ribosomal RNA
Source: RNAcentral